This 102-nucleotide ribosomal RNA is filed under the name Acanthamoeba sp. isolate A17P17. RNAcentral describes it as "partial 18S ribosomal RNA". Lineage: Eukaryota; Discosea; Longamoebia; Acanthamoebidae. The record is from RNAcentral.
AGGAGACGUUGAAUACAAAACACCACCAUCGGUGCGGUCGUCCUUGGCGUCUCGGUUUCGGCCGGGGUGCGGGGACGGCUUAGCCCGGUGGCACCGGUGAAU